UGUACCUACGGGGGGCAGCAGUGGGGAAUAUUGGGCAAUGGAGGAAACUCUGACCCAGCAAUGCCGCGUGAAUGAAGAAGGUCUUCGGAUUGUAAAGUUCUUUAGUCAGGGAAGAAGUCAAUGACGGUACCUGAAGAAUAAGCACCGGCUAACUCCGUGCCAGCAGCCGCGGUAAUACGGAGGGUGCAAGCGUUACUCGGAAUCACUGGGCGUAAAGAGCGCGUAGGCGGGAUAGCAAGUCAGAUGUGAAAUCCUAUGGCUUAACCAUAGAACUGCAUUUGAAACUGUUAUUCUAGAGUAUGGGG
This 305-nucleotide ribosomal RNA is filed under the name uncultured bacterium. RNAcentral's name for it is "bacterial SSU rRNA". It matches the Rfam family "Bacterial small subunit ribosomal RNA", at positions 334 to 653 of the family's 1533-position model. The record is from RNAcentral.